CAGCGCCGCGGUAAUACGUAGGGUGCAAGCGUUAAUCGGAAUUACUGGGCGUAAAGCGUGCGCAGGCGGUUUGUUAAGACAGAUGUGAAAUCCCCGGGCUCAACCUGGGAACUGCAUUUGUGACUGGCAAGCUAGAGUGUGGCAGAGGGGGGUGGAAUUCCGCGUGUAGCAGUGAAAUGCGUAGAGAUGUGGAGGAACACCGAUGGCGAAGGCAGCCCCCUGGGCCAAUACUGACGCUCAUGCACGAAAGCGUGGGGAGCAAACAGGAUUAGAUACCCCCGUAGUCCCUGUCUCUUAUACC
This 301-nucleotide ribosomal RNA is filed under the name uncultured bacterium. RNAcentral describes it as "partial 16S ribosomal RNA". It matches the Rfam family "Bacterial small subunit ribosomal RNA", at positions 509 to 808 of the family's 1533-position model. The record is from RNAcentral.